GCUGGGAAUCCACUAGGACAAGGUCCUGAGACUGCAUGUGACUUGGCCAGAAGGCUGAGUUGCCAAAGACCUACUGCAAACAGGUAGAGAGUGCAUGUGGGCACAGCAACUUGGCCAGGGGGUGCAUGUGAGAGGUGCUAGGAACAAAUCUUCAGGCUCUUGUGAACCUCCUCCUGCAAGGGAAAUGGAACUCAGCCAUUUGCGCAGAGAUCAGUGACUAGUUGACAACAGCUGAAAUAUUUUUGCAAGGGACGAUUGGCCAAUGCGCUGGGUAUUUUGGAGCUACAACCCCUGGAUAUGGAAGGGAUUUACAUGCAUUGUAGUGAAUAUGAUCACUUAUGUAAUCCUUGUGAGUAACGCUGGGCAAAGAAUGCUAACACUUUUCUAACAACAUUUACACAGCACCUACACCUACCCCAGCCCACAUUGACCACCACUCCCAGGCCACCCUUUCCAUACUUGCAAUGUACACAAACUGACUCCCUAUAUGCCACACAUAUGCAGGUGCUUGCUCCACUCUAGAGCUGGUUGGAAGAUUAUGUGCAUGUAUUAAAGGCAGAGAGGUUCAUGUGGGAUAAGUCUGUGUCCAACUGUGAGCUCCAUUUUUGUAUUGAGAAAUCCCUUUUUAUAUUGUGUGGCAAACACAUGUCUAAACUUUCCUGAGGGCAGCUUAUCGUAUUGAAUUCCAGGCACUGUCCUGCCCAGGAGAAGGGCAUGAUAUCUCACUGAAGGACUAUCAUGGAGAAGCCAUGAAAACUGUCUUCCAGGGCUAUUAACUAUCAACUACAGCCUUACCUGCCUGGAACAAUGGGUCUUCUUCACUGGUGGCAAGCCUGAGGAGGGUUGGAGGCUUCCAGCUGGGGACAUGGCAAUAGUGCUGCUCUGAGCAGGGAGCUGACCAUCACACAAAGGCAGGAGGGGCUCUGGCUUGCCUGAAACAUUAACAGAACUUCAUGGGGUGAAAUCAGACUGGGGAGGGUGCAGCUCAGGACUUUUGUUGUUUCAAUAAGUGUCUGUUAAGAAAUACCUUUGCUAAGCCUGUGUUCCUUGCUUUCCUUCUAUGUUGUCUCCAAACGGGUUAAACUGGAAACCCAGGAUGCCCACAGUUUAGGUGGAACUUUGUCUGAGAGAAUAACUGGUGAGACUCAGACUGAGAUGUUUUUGGGGGGAGGGGGGGGAGGGGAGGAGAAUAUUGUGUCUGGACAGGGAAGUUCCACUUCCCAAAGAAGGGUGUCAAAUGCAGUUGAAACCUGGGAAUGGGCCAAGACACCCAGACCUAGAAAUAUGGGAAGCAGGGGUUGACAGACUGGUGACCAUACAGAAAGGCACUAGGUCAGGCUGUAAUAAGGGGAUUGCAAAAGCUUUCACUACUUAUGAAAUCUUGAGACUUCUGAAAACUUCCAAACAGUGUUAGAGCUGGGCAGAAACCUGGAAUUAUUUUUCUGGUGAAAUUUUUUUAACUCUUGUUUUGGCUGAAAUUUUGAAGUGUUCUAGAGGUGUAAACCUCUAUACGUGUACACACAGGCAGGUUCCUUCCUCACCACUUCCCUCCAGCAUGCAAACUGGCAUUUCAGGCAUGUUCCAUGUUUUGUGCUCCCCAUUCCCCUCCUGCUGCUGCUCUUCACUGGCUCUUGUCCACAGCUCCUCCCUGGUCUGCUUCUCCCCUGCUUUGUCAACAGCCUGCUACCAACUUGCCAGUUUAAAACUCUCUUCCCCCUGUGCAAGCAUGUGAAUUCUCACUCCCGCACAGCAAGGUCUCCUUACUCACAUGUUUAAACAAAUGGAUGGUGAAUGAGUUUUUGCUGCUUCUGUGUUGAUUUCCUGUGACUAUUCUAGUCAAUGAACUUUACUUAGCAUGAAUGAAAGCAAAUGUUAAGCUUGAAUGUUUCAAUAUUCACCAUCAAUAAAUUUCAAAUAGUGGGCCAGAUCCUCCCCUGGGGCUUGAUCUUGACCCACUGAAGUCACUAGGAGUUAGGGUUGCCAGGUGUCCAGUUUUCAACCGGAAGGCCUGGUUGAAAAGGGACCCCGGCAACUCUGGUCAGCACUGCUGACUGGGCAGUUAAAAGUCCAGUCAGCGUCACAGCGGGGCAAAGGCAGGCUCCUUGCCUGCCAUGUCUCUGUGCAGCUCCUGGAAGCAUGUCCCUCCUCGGCUUCCUAUGCAUAGGGGUGCCUAGGGUGCUCUGCAUGCCGCCCCUGCCCCAAGUGCCAGUUCUGCAGCUCCCAUUGGCCAUGGUUCCUGGCCAACGGGAACUUCAGGGGUGGCACACAGUUGCCUGGCUGCACCUCUGCUUAGGAGCAAGAGGGGGGACAUGCCACUCCUUCUAGGAGCUGCCUAAGGUAAGUGGUCCCUGGAGCCUGCACCCUUGCCCAGCACUGACUCCCCUCCCCCCUGCCCUCCAAACCUCUUGGU
Molecule: long non-coding RNA, 2410 nt
Organism: Mauremys reevesii (Reeves's turtle)
Lineage: Eukaryota; Metazoa; Chordata; Testudines; Geoemydidae
Exons: 3
Source: RefSeq, a predicted model, not a curated record